AGAGUUUGAUCAUGGCUCAGGAUGAACGCUGGCGGCGUGCCUAAUACAUGCAAGUCGAGCGAACGGACGAGAAGCUUGCUUCUCUGAUGUUAGCGGCGGACGGGUGAGUAACACGUGGAUAACCUACCUAUAAGACUGGGAUAACUUCGGGAAACCGGAGCUAAUACCGGAUAAUAUUUUAAACCGCAUGGUUCAAAAGUGAAAGACGGUCUUGCUGUCACUUAUAGAUGGAUCCGCGCUGCAUUAGCUAGUUGGUAAGGUAACGGCUUACCAAGGCAACGAUGCAUAGCCGACCUGAGAGGGUGAUCGGCCACACUGGAACUGAGACACGGUCCAGACUCCUACGGGAGGCAGCAGUAGGGAAUCUUCCGCAAUGGGCGAAAGCCUGACGGAGCAACGCCGCGUGAGUGAUGAAGGUCUUCGGAUCGUAAAACUCUGUUAUUAGGGAAGAACAUAUGUGUAAGUAACUGUGCACAUCUUGACGGUACCUAAUCAGAAAGCCACGGCUAACUACGUGCCAGCAGCCGCGGUAAUACGUAGGUGGCAAGCGUUAUCCGGAAUUAUUGGGCGUAAAGCGCGCGUAGGCGGUUUUUUAAGUCUGAUGUGAAAGCCCACGGCUCAACCGUGGAGGGUCAUUGGAAACUGGAAAACUUGAGUGCAGAAGAGGAAAGUGGAAUUCCAUGUGUAGCGGUGAAAUGCGCAGAGAUAUGGAGGAACACCGGUGGCGAAGGCGACUUUCUGGUCUGUAACUGACGCUGAUGUGCGAAAGCGUGGGGAUCAAACAGGAUUAGAUACCCUGGUAGUCC
RNAcentral lists this ribosomal RNA (806 nucleotides) under uncultured bacterium. RNAcentral describes it as "bacterial SSU rRNA". It matches the Rfam family "Bacterial small subunit ribosomal RNA", at positions 8 to 796 of the family's 1533-position model. The record is from RNAcentral.